This 251-nucleotide ribosomal RNA is filed under the name uncultured bacterium. RNAcentral describes it as "partial 16S ribosomal RNA". It matches the Rfam family "Bacterial small subunit ribosomal RNA", at positions 524 to 776 of the family's 1533-position model. The record is from RNAcentral.
UACGGAGGAUGCGAGCGUUAUCCGGAUUUAUUGGGUUUAAAGGGUGCGCAGGCGGAUUUUAAGUCAGCGGUCAAAUCGUGGGGCUCAACCCCAUCCAGCCGUUGAAACUGGGGAUCUAGAGUGUGCGAGAGGUAUGCGGAAUGCGUGGUGUAGCGGUGAAAUGCAUAGAUAUCACGCAGAACCCCGAUUGCGAAGGCAGCAUACCGGUGCACAACUGACGCUCAGGCACGAAAGCGUGGGUAUCGAACAGG